Molecule: transfer RNA, 82 nt
Filed under: Dendronephthya gigantea
Lineage: Eukaryota; Metazoa; Cnidaria; Anthozoa; Malacalcyonacea; Nephtheidae
Description: tRNA-Ser
Rfam family: tRNA
About the family: Transfer RNA (tRNA) molecules are approximately 80 nucleotides in length.
Source: RNAcentral
GUAGUCGUGGCCGAGUGGUUAAGGCGACAGACUUGAAAUCUGUUGGGAUAUUCCCGCGCAGGUUCAAAUCCUGCCAACUACG